CCUCCAUGCUUCCAAGAAAAGCAUCUAGAGAGAGAAGUAGUGCCCGUACCGCAAACCGACACAGGUAGAUGAGGAGAGAAUCCUAAGGCCGGCGGAAGAAUUGCAGUUAAGGAACUAGGCAAAUUGACCCCGUAAGUUAGCGAGAAGGGGUGCCUGCGAGAGCAGGCCGCAGAGAAUAGGCCCAAGCAACUGUUUAGCAAAAACACAGGUCUCUGCUAAAGCGCAAGCUGAUGUAUAGGGGCUGACGCCUGCCCGGUGCUGGAAGGUUAAGGGGAACACUUAGCGCAAGCGAAGGUGUGAACUUAAGCCCCAGUAAACGGCGGCCGUAACUAUAACGGUCCUAAGGUAGCGAAAUUCCUUGUCAGGUAAGUUCUGACCCGCACGAAUGGCGUAAUGACUUGGGCACUGUCUCAACUGCAAAUCCGGCGAAGUUGUAGUGCGAGUGAAGAUGCUCGCUACCCGCGAUUGGACGGAAAGACCCCGUAGAGCUUUACUGUAGCUUAGCAUUGAAUUCCGGUAUUGUCUGUACAGGAUAGGUGGGAGACUGGGAAACUAGGGCGUCAGCCUUGGUGGAGUCGUCCUUGGGAUACCACCCUGACAGUACUGGGGUUCUAACAGGACGCCAUGAAUCUGGUGACUGGACAUUGUUAGGUGGGCAGUUUGACUGGGGCGGUCGCCUCCUAAAAAGUAACGGAGGCGCCCAAAGGUUCCCUCAGAACGGUCGGAAACGUUCGUAGAGUGCAAAGGCAGAAGGGAGCCUGACUGCGAGACCUACAAGUCGAGCAGGGACGAAAGUCGGGCUUAGUGAUCCGGUGGUACCUCGUGGGAGGGCCAUCGCUCAACGGAUAAAAGCUACCUCGGGGAUAACAGGCUGAUCUCCCCCAAGAGUCCACAUCGACGGGGAGGUUUGGCACCUCGAUGUCGGCUCGUCGCAUCCUGGGGCUGUAGUAGGUCCCAAGGGUUGGGCUGUUCGCCCAUUAAAGCGGCACGCGAGCUGGGUUCAGAACUCGUGAGACAGUUCGGUCCCUAUCCGUCGCGGGCGUAGGAAAUUUGAGAGGAGCUGUCCUUAGUACGAGAGGACCGGGAUGGACUGACCUCUGGUGCACCAGUUGUUCUGCCAAGAGCAUGGCUGGGUAGCUAAGUCGGGAAGGGAUAAACGCUGAAAGCAUCUAAGCGUGAAGCCUCCCUCAAGAUGAGAUUUCCCAUAGCAUAAGCUAGUAAGACCCCUUGAAGAACACGAGGUUGAUAGGUCAGAGGUGUAAGUGUGGUAACAUAUUUAGCUGACUGAUACUAAUAGGUCGAGGGCUUGACC
Molecule: ribosomal RNA, 1312 nt
Filed under: metagenome
Description: bacterial LSU rRNA
Rfam family: Bacterial large subunit ribosomal RNA
Source: RNAcentral